Molecule: ribosomal RNA, 990 nt
Filed under: uncultured bacterium
Lineage: Bacteria
Description: bacterial SSU rRNA
Rfam family: Bacterial small subunit ribosomal RNA
Source: RNAcentral
AAAGUACUUUCAGCGGGGAGGAAGGGAGUAAAGUUAAUUCCUUUGCUCAUUGAGGUUCCCCGCAGAAGAAGCACGGGCUAACUCCGUCCCAGCAGCCGCGGUAAUACGGAGGGUCCAAGCUUUUCUGGGAAUUUUUGGGGGUAAAGCGCACGCGGGCGGUUUGUUAAUUCAGAUGUGAAAUCCCCGGGUUCACCGUGGGGGGUCCAUGUGAUAUUGGCAAGCUUGAGUCUGGUGGAGGGGGGUAGAUUUCCAGGUGUAGGGGUGAAAUGUGUAGAGAUGUAGAGGCAUACCGGGCGAGAGAGGCGUCUCUCGUGACGAAGUCUCACGGUCAGGUGAGAGAGCGUGGAGAGCACACAGGAUGAGACACUGUGAGUGUACACGCCGUAAGAGAAGUGGACUUGGAGGUGGUGCCCCUGCGGCGCGGCUUCCGGAGCUAACGCAGUUAAGCUCUCCCGCCUGGGGAGUACGCACGCAAAGGUUAAAAUUCAAAGAAAUUGACGGGGGCCCCCCCAAGCGGUGGGAGCAUGUGGUUUAAUUGGAUGCAACGGGAAGACCCUUACAUGGUCUUGACAUCCACAGAACUUUCCAGAGAUGCAUUGGUGCCUUCGGGAACAGUGAGACAGGUGUGUGCACUGGCUGUGUGUCAGCUUGUGUUGUGAAAAGUUGGGUUAAGUCCCGCACACGAGCGCAACCCUUAUCUUUUGUUGCCAGCUGCGUCCGGCCGGGCACUCAAAGGAGACUGCCAGUGAUAAACCGGAGGAAGGUGGGGAUGACGUCAAGUCAUCAUGCCCCUUACGACCAGGGCUACACACGUGCUACAAUGGCGCAUACAAAGAGAAGCCACCUCGCGAGAGCAAGCGGACCUCAUAAAGUGGGUCGUAGUCCGGAUUGGAGUCUGCAACUCGCCUCCAUGAAGUCGGAAUCGCUAGUAAUCGUGGAUCAGCAUGCCGCGGUGAAUACGUUCCCGGGCCUUGCACUCACCGCCCGUCA